CCCCUUAGAUGUUCUGGGCCGCACGCGCGCUACACUGAUGCAUUCAACGAGUCUAAAACCUGGUCUGAGAGGGCUGGGUAAUCUUUUGAAAGUGCAUCGUGAUUGGGAUAGAUGAUUGCAAUUCUUCAUCUUCAACGAGGAAUGCCUAGUAAACGCAAGUCAUCAGCUUGCAUUGAUUACGUCCCUGCCCUUUGUACACACCGCCCGUCGCUCCUACCGAUUGAACGAUCCGAUGAAAACUGUGGAUUGAGAGUCUGAGUGGGUUCGCCUACCUCAACUUUCGAGAAGCGGUUUAAAUCUUAUCGUUUAGAGGAAGGAGAAGUCGUAACA
This 330-nucleotide ribosomal RNA is filed under the name uncultured eukaryote. Its description in RNAcentral is "partial 18S ribosomal RNA". It matches the Rfam family "Eukaryotic small subunit ribosomal RNA", at positions 1469 to 1796 of the family's 1831-position model. The record is from RNAcentral.